UCCGUAGGUGAACCUGCGGAAGGAUCAUUACCGAGUGAGGGCCCUCUGGGUCCAACCUCCCACCCGUGUUUAUUUUACCUUGUUGCUUCGGCGGGCCCGCCUUAACUGGCCGCCGGGGGGCUUACGCCCCCGGGCCCGCGCCCGCCGAAGACACCCUCGAACUCUGUCUGAAGAUUGUAGUCUGAGUGAAAAUAUAAAUUAUUUAAAACUUUCAACAACGGAUCUCUUGGUUCCGGCAUCGAUGAAGAACGCAGCGAAAUGCGAUACGUAAUGUGAAUUGCAAAUUCAGUGAAUCAUCGAGUCUUUGAACGCACAUUGCGCCCCCUGGUAUUCCGGGGGGCAUGCCUGUCCGAGCGUCAUUGCUGCCCUCAAGCACGGCUUGUGUGUUGGGCUCCGUCCUCCGAUCCCGGGGGACGGGCCCGAAAGGCAGCGGCGGCACCGCGUCCGGUCCUCGAGCGUAUGGGGCUUUGUCACCCGCUCUGUAGGCCCGGCCGGCGCUUGCCGAUCAACCCAAAUUUUUAUCCAGGUUGACCUCGGAUCAGGUAGGGAUACCCGCUGAACUUAAGCAUAUCAAUAAGCGGAGGAA
This 586-nucleotide ribosomal RNA is filed under the name uncultured fungus. Its description in RNAcentral is "eukaryotic LSU rRNA". The stretch from base 207 to 359 matches the Rfam family "5.8S ribosomal RNA". The record is from RNAcentral. Lineage: Eukaryota; Fungi.